CCCGGCGUUUGCUUCGCUGCUUCCUCGGGACAGCCCUCUCUCCUUCCACAAACCCCUUCCCUUGGCGUUCCAGAAUCCCCUGCCACCUGCUCCGUGCUCUUCCAUCCCCUCCUUCCCUCAGCCUCCUUGCUUCUGCUUCACAGAAUUACAGGAUCACUUAGGUUGGAAAAAACCUCAGAGAUCAUCGAGUUUAACUUCUGCCUGAACACCACCACCAUCUUAACUAGACCAUGGCAUUAAAUGCCACAUCAAGUCCUUCCUUAAACACCCCCAGAGACAGUGACUCCACCACCUCCCCGGGCAGCCCAUUCCAAAGUCUAAUCACCCCUUCUGUGAAGGAAUUCUUUAUGAUGUCCAAACUAAAACUCUCCUGGUGUAUCUUACAACUAUUUUCUCUUGUCCUCUCCCUAGAUGCGCGUGAGAAGAGGCCGACCCUCAUCUGGCUACAACCUCCUUUCAGGUGGUUGUGGAGAGUGAUAAGGUCUCCCCUGAACCUGCUUUUCUCCACACCUGCAGCUCCCUCAGCCACUCCUCACAGGACAUGUGCUCCAGACCCUCCACCAGCUCUGUUAUCUUCCCCUGGACACACCUCAGUAUCUUUCUUGGGGUGGGGGGCCCAGAACUGAACAUGGCACUCAAGGAAAAAUAUCUAGCAAAACACAAAAAUGGCAAGGUCAUAAAUGCACAGGAGAUGGAUUACUGCCAAACUUCAGACACUCCAAGGAACUGAGGAAGAAGGGUGUAAGGUAGAGCACCUUAGCCUACACAGUUUCACCAAGCCUGCUGGCUGGAUCAACUAAAGGUGUAAAUUAUCUUCUCCCUAUGACAAGAGGAGGAUAUUAAAUGAUACUGUGGGAGACCGAAUAUCACUUGAAACUCACGUUAGGAGCAAGCGUGCCCUGCCCAUCCCAUAGCGAGUGCAAGGUAGCUGGAGAGACUCUAAUUCUGUGAGAGGCCAGAGCAAGAGAGGAAGCUUCAUUCUGUGUAUGGAACUAUGACUUUAGACACUCGCAGAGAACCAGAGUUCUGUGAUCCCAGGAACAACCUCGAGGGGGGGAAUUAGCUCAAAUGGUAGAGCGCUCGCUUAGCAUGCGAGAGGUAGCGGGAUCGAUGCCCGUAUUCUCCAGUGUUUUGCCAGAUGGGAAAUCAUCCAAACAACAUGUGUAACUAUUUCGGUGAAAUGUUAGCUUUAUUUCCAUUGAAGUAAAACAGAUUUUUUUUCCCUUCCUCCUUUUCUUCCUCUGCCCUUACCUCCUAAAUCAGGCUUACAUAACUGUAUAGGUCAAUCCUCUGUUGUAAAAGUUAACUUCCUGGACAGUGUAAAUUAAAUUGAGCAGGAAGAGAAGUCUGCAGUACAACAUUUUUCCAUGCCCAAUGAAAAACGACACAUCGUGUUUUACCCCGAGCCAGUCACCAAGAGCUACACAGUUGCACCACUCACAGCCCCACAAUCAGAAGUGUAAAAGCUGGAGAGCUCAGUGGAAAUAAAGGCAGUUUAAUAGGGAAAGCAAAAGCCACGCACACAAGCAAAGCAAAACAAGGAAUUAACUCCCUGCUUCCUAUGGGCAGACAGGUGUCAAGACAUUCCCCAGGAGAGCAGGGCCCCAUCACAUGUAAUGGUUACUUGGGAAGACAAAAAUCACUUCAAGUGACCCCCCCUUCCUCCUUCUUUCCCCCAUGUUGUAUACUGGGCAUGAUGUCAUAUGGUCUGGAAUAUUCCUUUGGUCAGUUGGAGUCACCUGUCCUGGCUGUCUGCUCUCUACCUCCCAUGCCAACAUGGAAAUAUGAGAAGCAGAAAAGGCCUUGGCUCUGUGAUGAACACAACAUAAUCCAAGAUCAUUUCAGUUUUCAUUCUAUGUUAGAACUGAAGCCUGGCCCAGAACCCUGAAGCUGACUUUGGUAAUUCCAGAAGCCACAAUAAACUAAGGUACAGCAAAUUCAACUCAUUUGUCUGUAAAAGAACUGGCUUUCUAGUCAUACUAACAAAUCGUUCAUGUUUCCAUUUCCUUCCAUAAUGUGAUUUAAGGACACGAAUGUUCAUGCGGAAAAAAAUGCUUUUAAAUGUUAAUGGAAAUGUAAAAACAAUACAGUAAACUUACUAUAUCAGACUGUGCUCGGAGAUCAUCCAAAAGCUGUUGGUACUUCAAAGAUGGUGCUUUACCCUUUGACUGGAUAAGCUUCCGUAAGGCUUGAGCCAAUUCCUCUUUUCGCUUACGAGCUGUUGUACUCAUUCCUUAGAAAAGCAAAGAAAAUACCCGUUAGUGAUCAGCUAAGGAGGACAGCUUAAGUUACAUUUUAAAAACCACAAAAUCCCAACAGUGGCCGUGCUUUAACCCCACGGAAGCACAGACCUGUUGUGAGAAUGGAUAUGUCCACAAUGCCAGUCUUUGGAUCAGUAGCAGAUUGUUUCAGCGCUUCCCGAUGGAGGCGUUUUGCUUCCUCCACAUCAACUGUUUCCACCUUCUCGGAGAAGCGCACCUUGGCGUGCGCCUCGGCCAGCCGGAUCAGAGACUCCAGCUGCCGGGGGUAGGCGGAAACCAUUCCCCUGCCACUGCCGAUCUUCCUCAUGUCCACGUAUGCCUGAAAGGGAGACACUCGUCACACAGCUCGCUGUGUCUUAAUUCCUCUUCAGUCCCCUGCAUCCCCCACCUCUUAAUUCAGAAUAUGAGCAAUUCUGGCAAGCCAUUCCAAAUACUGUAUUUCUGCUCACACACCUUCACGGUUCGUCUGCAGUGAUGAAUAACCACAUCAAGUAAUUUUUUUUCAGUUAUAAAGCAAUUAAACCAUGGUAAUUAAUCAAGUUUUGAAUCACUUCAGAAUUCUGAAUCAAUCUUAUAUAGCAGUACUUGUAUGUGUGAUGACACAUUUUGCAUUGGAAGACUUUUAUGUGUUUUAUGUGACAGAAACAAACCAACAUAUCUGAAAGCUAAACAUUAGAAUGAAGAACAACUCAUCUGAUCCGUCUUUCCAUUAAAGACUUUUAUGUUUUCAAAGAUCUUACAGAAGGUUGUUAUGCAGAUAAGAGAGUGUACGUAUGAGGGAAUUUCACCACUUCUAACAAGUCAUAAAGACUCUGAUCAUUCUCAGCAGCAAUUCCUUUACCUCAAUAAGGGCUUGGCCUGCUUCUUCACCUAAUCUGGGAUUUACAUAACUACGAGCAUAUGCGAUGUAAUCCCUCAAGACUGCCAUAUCCAUGUAUUCCUCCUCCAUCUUUUCUUCACUUUGGUAGUACAGUGAAACCAAAUGGCGAGCAAGGCGUCUGUCAUAAGCUUCAUCACGUGGAUCCAACAUCAAAAAGAUCAAGUCAAAUCUGAAUGGGAUAUGAUCCAGUAUUAGUGCAUUACUAAAUAUUAGUGCAUGACUACUAUUAGUGCAUAUUUUCUUGUCAUUUAGGUGUUUGGGUGAUAAAGAUUUAACGUAAUUACAGGUAAGAAUUCCUAGACUUAAUUCCUACUCUCAGUAGAAAUUGCUUUCUCACACUGGAAAGAAAAUGUCCUAGAAUUCUCAAGGUACAGAAAAACACAAUGGAUUUGCUGACACCCUAUGGACUUGAAAUUUUGAAAGCAAGGUACAUUCUGCAAAAUUCAGAUUCCACGUUCAAGGCUGACAUAUUUUGUUUCCUUAAAAAAUCCACACCCCACACCAACCCCAAAAGAAAGCUGCAACUGCCACACACAAAAAAUCCCACACACAUAACAAAUGCAUGAAACGUGCUGCUAAAGAUACUGCCCUGAAAUACAGCAGCAAAAAAAUGCAACUAAAUAAAAUUACAAUUCAAAAAGCACUUGCAGUUUAAUUCUGAAGAAAAUGGUUUAUAAUUUUACAAAUAUAUUCAACUAGUCUCAACCGUAAGCAGACACAGAUAAUGCAUUUUUAGCCAGCCAAUUAUAUUUGUAGGCUUAAAUCAAAUAAAUGGUGGAAUUGAGAUGCUGCUCAAAUCUAGAAGCUCUUAUCUGAAAUUUAAGCCAUAAGUGUUCUCAGGAUAUCCAGUAUACUAUCAGUGUGCUUCAAAUUUCCAGUUACUGUGGAAAUUCUUAACAAGAUCAACUCCAGCAUGUAGUUUAUUUUUUUGUCUUUAUUUUAGCAAGCACUAAAUGUGGCUUUAACAGCUACUGCCCACAUGACUGACCAGCACUGCUACCACCACCUCCUCAGGUGAAUUUUACAAGCAGCAUGAAGCAGGCUUAGGAUUCUACCACCUCUGCUAUCAAGUUCCCUGAUCAUCAGUGUUUCACUUGAAAAUCUUUAUGGAGCUAAGAAAAGCAUCCUGAAUUUUUGUUUAAGUUAUCAAUAUCCUAAGUUUCAGAACAGCUCUUUUCUAGGAGAUGAUUACGAAACAACAUAGAAUUAAGUAAGAGAUCCUACAGAUCUCAUCACACCUGCUCUUCAAGGUCAGCAUGUAAAUACUAAAAAAGGCACUCCUGUGCUCACAUAAGAUAUUGUAAGGACGGCAUAUAUAGUAUGUGCUAUAAAAGUUUUCAUUAGGUUGUGAACAACACAGUAGUUCCAUUCUAUUCUGUCACGAUUUUCAGAAGAGGAAGUGUAACAUCCCCUAAAAAUGACAAAUGCAGUGCAGUUCAGUACCUUGACAGCAGUGUAUGAGGAAGCUGAAUGUUUUCAAUAGUAGUCUUUUUCGGAUUCCACUGUGAUUCUAUAGGAUUAGCUGCUGCUAGGAUAGAUGUACGAGCAUUCAACUGACAAAUAAUUCCAGCCUGUCAAAAGGAAAAAAUAUGUCUGAAAACAGCUGCAGUUGUGCCACCAAAACCUCCCUCCAAUUUCAUGAGAUCACCAAUGUUACUAGGUGGAUUCUGUAGUCAAAACCUGUAUUGUGAAAGCCUCUGAGUAAAGCAAGAGCUAAAUCCCCUAGGAAUAACUUCAGUUUCACUUACCUUUGCAAUGGAGAGUGUCUGUUGUUCCAUUACUUCAUGCAGAACUGACCUUGUGCUUUCAUUCAUUUUAUCAAACUCAUCGAUGCAGCAAAUGCCAUUGUCACUAAGUACGAGAGCUCCUGUCUGAAGAACCAGCUGCCGUGUUUCUGGAUCCUUCAUCACGUAUGCAGUAAGACCAACUGCACUUGAGCCUUUGCCAGAAGUAUACUGGCCUCGAGGAACCAGGUUAUACACAUACUGGAGCAGCUGGGAUUUGCUAGUGCCAGGAUCACCACAGAGAAGGAUGUUGAUCUCUGCACGAAAAUUCCCUCUUCCUGUGUGAGUAAAAUCCUUUCUUGAUCCACCAAAAAGCUGAAGCAGAAUACCCUAUAACAAUGAAAAUAUCAAUUGUAUAGAUAUAACACAGCAAAUCCAGCUGUUCAGCUGAAAAAUAUGAAAAACAAACACUGCUAAAAUUAACACAACUCAAUGCAUUUACAUGGUUUCAAGCAUUACAGACAGAUAUUUUGUACAUUGUUGUAACCAGAUUUUGGCUGGAACGUGAAGAAUCCCCUUUGAUGAAGGGUCCUUAGUUUUCCACAACUCCAUCCCCUAGAUUUGAUGGAUCUUUUUUAGCAUGUUGAGAAGGUAACAACAAAAGGAACUGUCAUUACUGUGUUCCCAUUUCAUAAGUAAAUCAUUGUAUGGUUUUGAAUUACACUUUCAGGAACUUGUGAACAAUAAUAAUGUAUAAUUCAAUUAAAAAAACCUCAAAGGAAUAUACUUGGAAGAGAAGUGUUUGAUGUCUUACAAUAAUUUGAGACCUCCUACUAACUGCAGUUUUCACAAUGUUCUAGUACCUCAAUUGAUACUUAUUGGAACAGUCCCUUCUUGGAUACAUCCAAGUAAAUGUUUUGAUACUCCAUAAUUCAGAGUCAACCAUAAGUCAUUUUGAAGCCACUCUUCUCUUGUGGAUGCCUCUUCUCAUCACGCACAGUUAUGUUACAGCUACAGCUUCAGAAUAAAGGAAUCAAGAUCAGACAGCCUGGGGAUGUCUAGCCCAAUCAUGAGGUCAAACUGGAGAUCACUGCUUGCUAAAGGCUGUGUCCCAUUGGAUUUUGAGUAUCUCUAAGGACAAAGACUCCGUGCAGCCUUGCCAACCAACCUGUGAUGAGGCUCGACCACACAAACAGUAAAAAAGUUCUGAUUUUUAACCAGAAUUGCCUGUAUUUCAGCUUAUGACCUCUGUGUGCCACUAGGCAUCAUUAAGAAGAGUCUGGCUUUGUCUUCUUGACAUUACCACCCCUCCACCCACACCUAACCAGGUGUUUCUAAACAUGCUGCUAAGAUUCCCCCAAGCCUUCUGUUCUCCACGCUGAGCAGUCACAGCUUUCUCAGCUUUCCAUGCAUGACCAAAGCUUCUGUUAUCGUCAAAGCCCUUUGCUGAAUUCACUCCUGUAUGUUCAUGUCUCCCUUGCCCUGGGAGACCCCACAACUGGACCCAGUGCUCCCUCAACCUGCUGACAACACUCCUAAUACAGCCCAGGAGAACGCUGGCACCACAGCCAUGGUCAAUCAAGCACUGCUUUCUUCCAGUUUUGUUUUUGUCUGCAAGUUUGCUGAGGGUGUAGAACACUGUCCCUAUAAGAAAAGGCUUCCAGGAUUAUUGAUUCUGUCACCUUUCCCAGGGCUCAAGAUGAAGCCUGCAGUUCCCUCCUCACUGUAGGGAGUACCAUUGGCUUUUUUCCUAGUAUUUUAGCCAGUCAACAUGACUUUUCGAAGAUAACUGAGUGGACUUGCAAAGAAAGUAUCCAACUCCUUCAGCACCUGGAAGUGCAUCCCAUCAGGUCCCUUUACACACAGUUAAGAUCAAUAAAAAAUGGAAAUACUCAAACCAAAUUUUACCUGUGACAUUAACUCUGUCACCUGGCUGAACUUUAUCAACAAGGUCAUUGUGAGCAAAGAGUGCCACUGUAUGCGGGGUCUGUCCAGCUGGCAUAUCUUCAGGAGACUCCUGCAGUUUAAUCUAGCAAAAACACCAUUUAAGUUGCAGUUUCAAAAAAAGCAGAGCUUUUCCAUAGAGCAUACAACAGGAUUUUGUAUUAACAGAGUCUUCAGCAUCAUUUUCAAUCAGGAACAUUGCUUAAGAAUAAAAUAUCCCCACCCAAACAGCAAAACUGAUUACAAGAAAUCUCAUUAUGAAAAUGAGAAUUCUGGUAUUGCUACUGGCAUGGAUAAAAUGCUGCUACAAGCAAGGCUCACCUAGUCUAGACAGAAGUGGACUGUAUAUAAAGUGGCUUCGAUACAGAAACAUUAUAUACUUAAUUUCAUCCUCCUAAUGCAUUUCUUCUCCAAAGUAGACUUUCACUAAGCUGUUUCACCCAUUUCUAUGUUCCAAAACACUUAUUUUCAAAGCAUUCAAUCUCAAGACACAUAACUAAUGCUGUUGAUGAUUUUAGGAGGGUGGGGGAGCAAAACCUAGCAAUUCUUCCAUUCUAGCCACUACCUAAGCCAACAUACCAUCUGUUUGUCAGAGAACAUGGAUCUGUUAUGAAUCAGCGCCAUACUGUGUGUUGUGUUACAGUUCUUGCACACUGAUGGUUCAGCAAUCCUGCCACGGUCGAUUUCCACUCUGGUGGUGAAAGCGCAGACCUGGCAUCUAAAGAAUGCUUCCUGCAUCUCAGGAAUUAACUGGGAGCUUCUGAUGACCAUGCCACUGAUGGUGAUGAGUUGAUCAAUGUCUACAAAAACAUAAGGACUCAUGUCAUGACCUCAUACUCUUAAAAUUCAAAUACCAUUCAAAAUUUCACAUUACAUCGUUUUUAGGCAGAAGCUAGACAGACAGGUUACUACUAUUUUGUUCAAGCAAAAAGAAUAAAUGCACAAUAUAAAUACUCUAAUUUACAGGAGUAUGUAUACAAAAGAAAGAAUCCUUUGCACUUCCAGAACUAAUAACACAAGUGGUUGAUGAUAGGAAAUAUAUCCUUUAUUGAUAGGUUAUUCCACAUUUGGGCUCUAAAGCAUUUUCUUCUGAAUGGAAGACAUGAAUGGAAGAUACUGGUCUGGAUGGACCACAAGUACAGUUUUAUAUAGUCUUAAUCUUGUCAUAUUCACUAAGUUUAUGGAAAUCUUUAAGAUUCUUUUCUAGCAUCUUAAGCAAAAAGUUUACCUUCAGGGUUUAGAUUUCUCAUAUUCCUGGUCUUCAGUGCGUUAUAUGGCCUUACUUGAAUUUGAUGCUCUAGUAUUGAAUCAGGGUAACGAUCAAAAAAGAUCUCAUUGGCAGCCAUGUCAAAUGUUGGGAUAACUUCCUGUAUUAGAAACAGCUUACAUGUUAGAUCACAGAAUGAAGUAAUUAUGCAUAAAGAAUUCUGUGUGCUGCUGAUCAGCCAGUAAUGAUUAAAGUUACACCAUUUUCCUACGUAACACAAAACAUGCUAUUUGGGUCAGAUUUAUUUAUUCAUUCACUUGAGUAUUGCAAGGAGCGGAAGCACAGAACUCUGACCAUUGCAGUUCACCAGCUAACUUUGCAUGCAGGAGGUACUCACUGUUUCUAUGAUCAUCUGCUAUGAAACAAGACAUCUUAUAUUCAGUAAAAUAAAGUAGCCACUGAGAUCGCACUGAAGACACACAGUAUGCACACACUGCAUUUAAACAAGCAUUUUAAACCCCAGAAAUAUGAAAGAACCACCUGAGAGCCAGAAAACAAGUGCACUACCUCACCUGAGGAUAGCAGAUCAGUUGCCUGUAGAGAUUUUCAUCAAAUGAUCUUAGAUGGUCACAAUUUACAUUCAGGAAUGGUUCCCCAACCAUAUUAAUCUGUAAGGGAGUUAGGAAAUCUUUAGCUCGAUGGCAUGCAAGACUGAAAAAAGAAAAGCUGAAUUACUCCAUUACAAGUACCUCUUGGAGUCGUUGCAUAUAGCGUGGCUCAUUAAGAUCCAGGCCAAUGUCUUCAUCCUCUUUAUCCAGUGGAUCGAUAAAGCGCUGGAGAAAUCUCUGAAUGUCAGAGGUAAAAGAAAGACAUGAAAAAUUAGCAGAAUUUAGUAGCACAAACAUCUCCUUUGUACUAGAUACAACUAGUAUUUGUUUAAAUCAAACUAGCUUUUCAUUUUAAAAAAGGGAAGAAACAAAACCCACCUGGAAUUUUUCUUUGCAUGAGGCCACAUUAACAUCUGUUCCCCAAAUAACAAGCUUUUGUCCAAGAGAUUGCUCGGUUGCUACUAUGUCUUCAGCCAGCUGCAUGGAAACAAAUUAAGCAUAUACAAAUAUUUAUAUGUUCAAAAAGAAGUUGUCAGAUACAAGAGGUGAGACAUCCACCUACCCCAUCUGAGUGCAAAUCCACUUGUCUGGCUUUCCGGACAGACCCCAGAUCCGGCCUCUGCCUGACUGGAGUUCCUCGUGCACCACUUCGUGGGGUGCCCUCUACCCUGGAGCUGGGUGUGCCGUAAGUCAGAGGUGAACUGAUGUCAAAGUCAAGAGGAAUGGCUAUAAAAGGAAAUGGUUUCUAAUGAUUAUUGAGACAUUUGACAUCUACAGCAGACUAAAAUUCAGCCCCUGCAUUUGUCUCAUUGGUUCUGCAACUCUGUCAUAAAAUGAGUAGUCUCAGUCAAGCACAGUGUUCUGUCAAAACACACAAUAAAGAUGUUGCCAGUCUCCCUAGAACUUUUCUUUGUAUUAACAGCUCUUCUCAAAGAUCCCAAGUUCAAAUAAAGUUUCCCUAGAAAACUUUA
Passer domesticus (house sparrow) is the source of this 9595-nucleotide long non-coding RNA. RefSeq lists it as uncharacterized. The transcript is spliced from 7 exons. The record is from RefSeq and is a predicted model, not a curated record. NCBI's taxonomy places the organism in Eukaryota, Metazoa, Chordata, Aves, Passeriformes, Passeridae.